CCUACGGGAGGCAGCAGUGGGGAAUAUUGGGCAAUGGACGCAAGCCUGACCCAGCAACGCCGCGUGAAGGAAGAAGGCUUUCGGGUUGUAAACUUCUUUUAACGGGGAAGAGCAGAAGACGGUACCUCUCGAAUAAGCCACGGCUAACUACGUGCCAGCAGCCGCGGUAAUACGUAGGUGGCAAGCGUUGUCCGGAUUUACUGGGUGUAAAGGGCGUGUAGCCGGGUUGGCAAGUCAGAUGUGAAAUCCGCGGUCUCAACCGGCGAACUGCAUUUGAAACUGCUUCUCUUGAGUAUCGGAGAGGUAGCCGGAAUUCCUAGUGUAGCGGUGAAAUGCGUAGAUAUUAGGAGGAACACCAGUGGCGAAGGCGGUUUGCUGGACAGCAACUGACGGUGAGGCGCGAAAGCGUGGGGAGCAAACAGGAUUAGAUACCCGAGUAGUC
This 442-nucleotide ribosomal RNA is filed under the name uncultured bacterium. Its description in RNAcentral is "partial 16S ribosomal RNA". It matches the Rfam family "Bacterial small subunit ribosomal RNA", at positions 338 to 795 of the family's 1533-position model. The record is from RNAcentral.